RNAcentral lists this long non-coding RNA (1247 nucleotides) under Marmota monax (woodchuck). Lineage: Eukaryota; Metazoa; Chordata; Mammalia; Rodentia; Sciuridae. The record is from RNAcentral.
GAGACAGGAGUAGUAUUAGACUCAGAGUGUGAGUACAACCUGUCCACAGGAAACUGGGGAACAUCCUAUUUGGUUGCCUCUCAGUGAGGUGACUAUUUUGUAGGAUCCAUCUUCUAUACAGACUGCUGUCAGGAAUCCUAGCAUAGACUAUUGAGGCAUGAGCCAAAUAUUAGAAAACCCAAUUCUGGCUUGUGUGACCAUGAUAUGUUGGUCUUCUCUGGGGAUGGUCUUCCAGUUUGGCCAUAUAUACUGCAGCUUAUAUACCUCCCCUCUGCUCCCUUGCAGUGGGAUGCUUUCAGCAUGCCUGAACUACACAACUUCCUGCGCAUCCUGCAGCGAGAGGAAGAAGAACACCUCCGCCAGAUCCUGCAGAAGUACUCCCAUUGCCGCCAGAAGAUCCAAGAGGCCCUGCAUGCCUGCCCCCUGGGGUGACCUCUCCUACCUCUGGGUGGCAGGAGGAGAGUAGGCAGUGCCAAGAGCGUGCCGUGUGAGUGUGACAGGGCCCAUGGGGCCUGAGGAAUGAGUGUGCAUGGAAGCCCUCCCCCAUUGGGGGAAUGAGCCCAGAGAAUAGCGAAGAAGCUGGCCCUCUGCAUCCACCAGUGGGUGAAGCAGAGUAUGGCUUUGCAUCUCUUUGCCUUUCGUGUACUGGGUCACGGUGGGCCAGGACUUCCCUGGGGAGCUGCUCCAGGCUUGCAGCAGGGGUGGAGCAGAAAGAAUCUCCUUAAUUCAUGUCUCAGAUGUGAUAAUCUUGGAGACCCUACAAACAGAACAGGAUCAGUUUGCAGGGUUGAGGACCCUCAACCUUGGGGAAGGUUGUGUUUUGGGUCUUGAAUAGAGUUUCUGGAUAACCCUAUCAGAGCCAUGGGUGGGUGCUCAGAAUAAGGCAGGCAUCAAGGUGGAGUCUAGGUUUCCUUCUAGUGCCUUCUGACUCCUCAUACACCCUGAGGUCAGGGAGUGCUGGUAUACAGUACAGCAACAGUGCCUCAGUGCCUCCUCCAAAGAGGAUAUCCCUGGGUCAGCCCAGGGUCUGUGAAUGUGGGCACUCUGCCAGCCCCAUUCCUUGUUUGCCAGGCAAAGCCAGGGUCUGUCUCUCAGAUAUUUUUGAUGAAGUGUGUGAAUGUAUGUAGUCCGUUUUGUGGCCUCAAAUGAAUGCCUCCUGUGGGAAAAGGGAUGGGGGUGACAGUCAUCAUCAGGGCCUGAGGCCUGAGAGAAUUGGCUGAAUAAAGAUUUUAAGAAUCCUGCUUUUG